RNAcentral lists this non-coding RNA (29 nucleotides) under Mus musculus (house mouse). Lineage: Eukaryota; Metazoa; Chordata; Mammalia; Rodentia; Muridae. The record is from RNAcentral.
UGGGUGGAAACAUGGAACUCUAAGCUGCC